Molecule: ribosomal RNA, 469 nt
Filed under: uncultured bacterium
Lineage: Bacteria
Description: partial 16S ribosomal RNA
Rfam family: Bacterial small subunit ribosomal RNA
Source: RNAcentral
GACGAACGCUGGCGGCGUGCUUAACACAUGCAAGUCGAACGGAAAGGCCCUGCUUGCAGGGUGCUCGAGUGGCGAACGGGUGAGUAACACGUGGGUGAUCUGCCCCUUAUUUUGGGAUAAGCCUGGGAAACUGGGUCUAAUACUGGAUAGGACCAUGCUGUAGGUGGUGUGGUGGAAAGAUUAGUUUCGGUAAGGGAUGAGCUCGCGGCCUAUCAGCUUGUUGGUGGGGUAAUGGCCUACCAAGGCGUCGACGGGUAGCCGGCCUGAGAGGGUGGACGGCAACAUUGGGACUGAGAUACGGCCCAGAGUCCUACGGGAGGCAGCAGUGGGGAAUAUUGCACAAUGGGCGCAAGCCUGAUGCAGCGACGCCGCGUGGGGGAUGACGGCCUUCGGGUUGUAAACUCCUUUCAGCCAUGACGAAGCCCUUGUGGUGACGGUAGUGGUAGAAGAAGCACCGGCUAACUACGUG